This 474-nucleotide ribosomal RNA is filed under the name uncultured bacterium. RNAcentral's name for it is "bacterial SSU rRNA". It matches the Rfam family "Bacterial small subunit ribosomal RNA", at positions 915 to 1391 of the family's 1533-position model. The record is from RNAcentral.
GGGGACCCGCAAGCGGUGGAUGAUGUGGAUUAAUUCGAUGCAACGCGAAAAACCUUACCUACCCUUGACAUGUACGGAGGACCGAAGAGAUUUGGUUGUGCUCGAAAGAGAACCGUAACACAGGUGCUGCAUGGCUGUCGUCAGCUCGUGUCGUGAGAUGUUGGGUUAAGUCCCGCAACGAGCGCAACCCUUGUCAUUAGUUGCUACAUUCAGUUGAGCACUCUAAUGAGACUGCCGGUGACAAACCGGAGGAAGGUGGGGAUGACGUCAAGUCCUCAUGGCCCUUAUGGGUAGGGCUUCACACGUCAUACAAUGGUACAUACAGAGGGCCGCCAACCCGCGAGGGGGAGCUAAUCCCAGAAAGUGUAUCGUAGUCCGGAUCGCAGUCUGCAACUCGACUGCGUGAAGUUGGAAUCGCUAGUAAUCGCGGAUCAGCAUGUCGCGGUGAAUACGUUCCCGGGUCUUGUACACACC